Non-coding RNA from Punica granatum (pomegranate), 2943 nucleotides. NCBI's taxonomy places the organism in Eukaryota, Viridiplantae, Streptophyta, Magnoliopsida, Myrtales, Lythraceae. The record is from RefSeq and is a predicted model, not a curated record.
UCGCUCCUUCAACAAAUCCGGCGCUCCCUCUAUCGUUGCUCCACUUCGCCUCCGCCCAUUCAACGCCCAGCCCCUUGGCCUUGGGCCUUCGCCUUCCACCUUGCCACCUCGCUUGCUGUCGCCAUGACCGCCGGUUGGGCCCUCUACCAUUUGCCCUACCACCUAUCAGUAACAUAGUGCCGCCACUGGUUGGGACUCCCCACAGCCUACCCAUAAAACCUUUGGUGCCUUUCCCCAUCGCACAUGUUCAUGGGUUCGUCCCGAAACGUGACUUUUAUAUUGAUUCGCGUGCAUGGAUCGCCGAACAUCCCUUCCUCUGCUCUCUGCAGUCUCUCACAGGAUAAAACGACAACAAGCGAAGCAACAGCACAAACAGCAACGCUUCAGCGAACUCGAAGAGAAGCGUGGACACUUUGAGGUCGAAUUUUCUUCUACUAUUCAAUCGGCUACAGGAAGCAAUGGAAGGCUACUGUUUCUGUUCGUGAGCCUCGACUCCCAAAGGCCUAUCCCUUGAGAAAUGAGUUUAAGGUCAGACAUGUUCAUGUUCGCAAAAUAUAUCUUUUCCCUUGACGGUGGUGGUCUGGAAUCUUGAUUUUGCCCUUGAAUGGUUAAUAUACAAGUUAUAAAGCCAUGAUUCUACUGUCUUGCAUAAAGGUAUCUGAGUCGUGCCUUGAAGGCUAAUGAAUAAAGGUAUCUAGCUUCUCAUUAGGAGCUCAGCCAUUAUCGUUGACAGAAUGAAUCCAAAAUUUGCUUAGUUCCACCAACAGAGUCCAAAAAACGCAGUCUCAGCCUACCUCAGUUCUACAAUAAGGUUUCCAGAUUGACAUAGAAAGGUAGAGUGACAAACUAAAAAAAAAAAAAAAACUUGGUUCAUGAUUAAAUUUUGUUAAAACUAAGCAGACAAAAUUAAAAUGCUUAAUAUUCUAGCAUAAAGGCAAUGAGAUUUAUUUUUAAGGUUAUCACCUUAUUAUGGAGGAAUAAAGUUGUAUAAUGGAUAGUACUGAUUAGGUCUUAUGUUUUUUCUUUAUAUUGUGGAGGGAAUGGACCAGGUCACUUAAUGGAGAGUAUUGAUUAAGCCUUACGUACUGCUAAGAAAACAAAUUUGCAUGUUAAAAAUAAUAAUUAAAGUUAGAACCUAGAGUACUGUAAGAUAAAAACAAUCAUGAAAAAAAAUCACUUAUCCAAAAAAUGAGUAAAAUAAUCAUGAAAAAGAAGUUGAAUGGUGAAUAAUUUCAGGGGAACUAAAAGAGAGUAAAUAGCUUUAAUAUUCUCGACAAGUACUUGCUUUUGAGAAAUUGGCGCAUGCUUCAAAAAAUGCCCAAGGAAAACCCACUGACCACUUAAUUUUGCACCAUCAUUAUGUCCAAGUCAAGGCCAAAAGAUCCAGAGUAUACACAUUAAGGAAAAGAUAAACAGCUUAUUGAUUCGACUGAGCAAGAAAACAAGUGCUUAAAAACAUAAGACAGCUUACUGUGAGUAACCGUACAAUUUUGUGCCUACAACGAAUAAACCGAGAUCGAAAACAGCCUUUUGGGAAUGUAAAACAGGCGGGUGUAACUGCACAUGCAGUACAAAUGUGUCAGCCUCAUCUAAUUUAAAAAUAAAUAAAAGCAUCAAAAAGAAAAAAUAAAAGUAAAAUUGAGUACAAGAUGAAAUGCAUCAUUUUUGCAAACACCAUAUAAACAGUCAUAAUACAACCAAUUACAUGGUGGAAGGCUUAAAUAUGUCUCGAGCCCUGCAGCAAACAUUACACAAGGAGUUAUGGUUAACCAAAGGAACAUAUCUGCUUUGAGUCAUAUAGAACACCAUAGAAGUAGAAAUCUUUCUUAAGAGAUGGAUAAUGCUAGCAAGAUAAACAAUAUAUUGAGUAAUUGGCAUCAUAUGAAGAAACAUGAAUAUUAGCAUAUUAACAAUGAAGAAAAACAUGAAUAAUAGCAUAUUAGCAAGUCUUGGUUGAGCAAUUUCUAAAUUAGUCUCUUAUAAACUGAUAAUAUCCAUUUUCUUUGUCUUAAAGGAUCCAUGUAUUGAUAUCUGAGGACCGUCACUACUCAUUAAAUUCCCGGUGUUAAUCCCAUUAAUAAAUCCUGCCUGAUACAAUAAAAAAUAAACCAAGACCACAGUCACCAAAUAUAAAAUUGAAAAGCACGUGUCUAUGCGUGCAUGUAUCUGAACAGUCAAAAUUUCAAUUUUACCUAUAUUGUGCACACGAAAUCGAACGUUCUUUGUUCUAUUUAAUCUUUUAGUUAUUGUAUAUUUAACCUUCAUUUUUUUACCAAACCUAGAGUUUCUAAUCUAUGACGAUUAAUGAAAAAGUUCCGACGAAAAAAGAAAAAAACUAAUAUUAUUGAUAAUAAUGCAAUUAUCACGAGUUUUAUGACAUGUUUAAUCCUAGAGAGAAAAAAAGGCACAUCUAUUGAAAAGAUUCAGAAUAUCACAAGGACAGGAUCGAAUAAAUCACUAUGUAUAGGCGUAUGUCCUGUAGAAUGAAUAAAUUACUUCACUCGGUAUAGUAAAUUACUUAACUUUUUAGUAAAUUACUAACAAAAAAAAGGUAAAAUACACAAAUUUCCAAAUAAUUUGCCCAAAUUUCAAAGUUACACAAUAUUCUAAGUGUUUUACAAUGAUUUCAAAGAAAUUUACUUAAUUAGUAAAAUACUCAUUAUUUACUUAAAAUUUUAAGUAAUUUAUUUGAUUGUAUGGUGCAAUCAGAUUGCACCAUAGAAUUUUCCCAUUCUCAUUGUACAAAGAAACAGCUAAGCAGUAAAAAUUGUACAUGCUAAAUAUCUACAGCUGUUUGAUUCUGGGCAACUAAACAUGAGGGUUGCGCUCGUUGCUGGACUUAACCCAACACCUUACGGCACGAGCUGACGACAGCCAUGCACCACCUGUAUCCGCGUUCCCGAAGGCACACCUCUCUUUCAAGAGGAUUCGUGGCAUGUCAAG